Molecule: ribosomal RNA, 500 nt
Filed under: uncultured bacterium
Lineage: Bacteria
Description: partial 16S ribosomal RNA
Rfam family: Bacterial small subunit ribosomal RNA
Source: RNAcentral
GACGAACGCUGGCGGCGUGCUUAACACAUGCAAGUCGAACGGUUCUGCCCUGUUCUUUCCGGGGUUGGUCAGUGGCGAACGGGUGAGUAACACGUGAGUAACCUGCCCCUCACUUCUGGAUAACCGCUUGAAAGGGUGGCUAAAUCGGGGUGUUCUGGCUGUGCCGCAUGGUGUGGCUGGGAAAGAUUCACUUUUGUGACGAUAUGGUGGGGGAGCGGCGUGUGGCUUAUCAGCUUGUUGGUGGGGUGAUGGCCUGCCAGGGCCUUGACGGGUAUCCGGGGUGGGAGGGUGGGCAGUCACAGUGGGAGUGAGGGACGGCACAGAUACGUGCGGGAGGCGGCAGUGAGGGGUAGUGAAGAAUGGACGGAUGCCUGAUGAAGGGAGGGCGCGUGAGGGAUGUAGGCCGUCGGGAUGUGAACUUCUUUCGCCGGUGAAGAAGGUGCUGCUCUUAGUGGUGGGGUGGGCGGUAGGCGGGUUAUGAAGCGCCGGCUAACUACGUG